GCAUUUUAAAUUCUAUUUUCAAUUUUUAAAAAAUUGACAUCCAGAGAAGCUGCAUUUUUAACCGAUUCCCCAGGGGAUGCCACUGGUCUGGGAAGCCCGCCUUGAGAACCACCGUUUCGGACCAAAAUCUCGGCAGGAGACGCCAAAUGAUCAAAGGAAUCUUUAACAUCAGCUAAGCCCAUCUAGGAAAAGCAAAUGCCACGCUUCUCGUGAGUCAUCCUGAGUCAGCCUCGCUGCAAAGCUCAGGCCGCCUCCGUUAUUCAUUCGUCAAACCAUUUCCGGCAGGGGCAGGGCCAGCUGGUCUUGGCGACGGCUUCUGGCCAAAACGUGCUCAGAAACAAAAGCCCGUGGGCUCCCCUCCAGGAGGAAUGUUCCAGACUCAAAGAGAACCCGGACAGAGAGUCUAUCUGUGGGAUUAAAUCUCAUGGGGACUGAUCAGGAACAAAGGAAAUGCCCGAAAAGGCUCUUCGGGAAGGUCUUGUGAAUGACCCUGCAUCCCUCCAAAAGACGUGUCGACGUCCUAACCCCUCAGUGUCUGCGAACGUGGUCUUGUUUGGAAACAGGGUCUCGGGGGGGUGGAACCAAGUUAAGAUGAGGUCGUUCGCGUGUGUCCAGAUCCGAUAAGACGGGUGGUCCUUGGACGAAGGGGACAGGGCCACGUGAAGACGUGUCCGUGAGCCAAGGAGCAUCUGGCAUGACUGGUCACAGUUGGAGGGGAGGGGACCAGGGCGCUGCCCACACCUUCCUUUCAGACCUCCAGCUUCGGGAACCGUGACAGAGUAAAUUCCUGCUGUUUCAGGCACCCAGGUGGCGGUCCUUUAUUUCAGCCACUGCGGGGAAACUAGCCAGGGCGUGACAGUGGAGAAACGGUUCAGAACCACUGACCUCGACCCUGAGAUGGGUUUGAGGAUGGACAUGAUAAACACAGAGUGCCGAGCACCGAGCCUGCCACACGGUCACGGGAGGCACUUCAUACAUGUCAGCUGUCACCAGGCUCCCCUACUGGUUCCGGCCCACGGAAGAGUAAAUCGUGACCCGUAAAGGA
Long non-coding RNA from Prionailurus viverrinus (fishing cat), 1045 nucleotides. RefSeq lists it as uncharacterized. The record is from RefSeq and is a predicted model, not a curated record. The transcript has 4 exons. NCBI's taxonomy places the organism in Eukaryota, Metazoa, Chordata, Mammalia, Carnivora, Felidae.